This 371-nucleotide ribosomal RNA is filed under the name uncultured bacterium. Its description in RNAcentral is "bacterial SSU rRNA". It matches the Rfam family "Bacterial small subunit ribosomal RNA", at positions 527 to 896 of the family's 1533-position model. The record is from RNAcentral.
GGAGGGGGCUAGCGUUAUUCGGAAUUAUUGGGCGUAAAGGGCGUGUAGGCGGCCUCGUAUGUCCCAUGUGAAAGCCCUCGGCUCAACCGGGGAACUGCAUGGGAAACUGCAAGGCUUGAGUCCGGGAGAGGAGAGUGGAAUUCCCAGUGUAGCGGUGAAAUGCGUAGAUAUUGGGAGGAACACCAGUGGCGAAGGCGGCUCUCUGGACCGGUACUGACGCUGAGACGCGAAAGCUAGGGGAGCAAACGGGAUUAGAUACCCCGGUAGUCCUAGCCGUAAACGAUGAGCACUUAGUGUGACGGGUAUCGACCCCUGCCGUGCCGAAGCUAACGCAUUAAGUGCUCCGCCUGGGGAGUACGGCCGCAAGGCUG